AUUGAACGCUGGCGGCAUGCUUUACACAUGCAAGUCGAACGGCAGCGCGGGCUUCGGCCUGGCGGCGAGUGGCGAACGGGUGAGUAAUACAUCGGAACGUGCCCAGUAGUGGGGGAUAGCUCGGCGAAAGCCGGAUUAAUACCGCAUACGACCUGAGGGUGAAAGCGGGGGAUCUUCGGACCUCGCGCUAUUGGAGCGGCCGAUGGCAGAUUAGCUAGUUGGUGGGGUAAAGGCCUACCAAGGCGACGAUCUGUAGCUGGUCUGAGAGGACGACCAGCCACACUGGGACUGAGGCACGGCCCAGACUCCUACGGGAGGCAGCAGUGGGGAAUUUUGGACAAAGGGCGAAAGCCUGAUCCAGCAAUGCCGCGUGUGUGAUGAAGGCCUUCGGGUUGUAAAGCACUUUUGGCGGGAACGAAAAGGACUGUGCCAAUACCACGGUUCGAUGACGGUACCCGCAGAAUAAGCACCGGCUAACUACGUG
This 484-nucleotide ribosomal RNA is filed under the name uncultured bacterium. RNAcentral describes it as "partial 16S ribosomal RNA". It matches the Rfam family "Bacterial small subunit ribosomal RNA", at positions 29 to 507 of the family's 1533-position model. The record is from RNAcentral.